This 88-nucleotide non-coding RNA is filed under the name Xenorhabdus budapestensis. Lineage: Bacteria; Pseudomonadati; Pseudomonadota; Gammaproteobacteria; Enterobacterales; Morganellaceae. The record is from RNAcentral.
UUCAAUGGCGGUUCAGGCAGGGGAGACUCACGUCUCGCCGGAUCGAUUGACCUCCGGUAUUGGAAACCCUGUCUGAACCACCACCAAU